CCUACGGGAGGCAGCAGUGGGGAAUAUUGGACAAUGGGCGAAAGCCUGAUCCAGCAAUGCCGCGUGUGUGAAGAAGGCCUUCGGGUUGUAAAGCACUUUAAGUUGGGAAGAAAAAGCUCUGGCUAAUAUCUAGAGCCUUGACGGUACCAACAGAAUAAGCACCGGCUAACUCUGUGCCAGCAGCCGCGGUAAUACAGAGGGUGCUAGCGUUAAUCGGAUUUACUGGGCGUAAAGCGUGCGUAGGCGGUUUGAUAAGUCGAUUGUGAAAGCCCCGGGCUUAACCUGGGAAUUGCAGUUGAUACUGUCAGACUAGAAAACGGUAGAGGGAGGCGGAACUCCAGGUGUAGCGGUGAAAUGCGUAGAUAUCUGGAAGAACACCGAUGGCGAAGGCAACCUCCUGGGCCUGUUUUGACGCUGAGGCACGAAAGCGUGGGUAGCAAACAGGAUUAGAUACCCUGGUAGUCCACGCCGUAAACGAUGAGAACUUGACGUUGGUUUGCUUAGCAAAUCGGUGUCGUAGCUAACGCGAUAAGUUCUCCGCCUGGGGGAGGACGGCCGCGAAGGUAGUAACGUUACGAAAGAAGUUAGUUAGGCGNGNGAGNGCGACGGACGACGACGAGGGAGGAGG
This 628-nucleotide ribosomal RNA is filed under the name uncultured bacterium. RNAcentral's name for it is "partial 16S ribosomal RNA". The stretch from base 1 to 542 matches the Rfam family "Bacterial small subunit ribosomal RNA", at positions 338 to 873 of the family's 1533-position model. The record is from RNAcentral.